RNAcentral lists this ribosomal RNA (493 nucleotides) under uncultured bacterium. Its description in RNAcentral is "bacterial SSU rRNA". It matches the Rfam family "Bacterial small subunit ribosomal RNA", at positions 1 to 507 of the family's 1533-position model. The record is from RNAcentral.
ACGUAGUUUGACUCCGUGGCUACGAGGACGACGCUGGCGGCGCGCCUAACACAUGCAAGUCGAACGGAGCUUAGAGAGCUUGCUUUUUAAGCUUAGUGGCGAACGGGUGAGUAACGCGUGAGUAACCUGCCCUAGAGUGGGGGACAACAGUUGGAAACGACUGCUAAUACCGCAUAAGCCCACGGUACCGCAUGGUACUGAGGGAAAAGGAUUUAUUCGCUUUAGGAUGGACUCGCGUCCAAUUAGCUAGUUGGUGAGGUAACGGCCCACCAAGGCGACGAUCCAUAGCCGACCUGAGAGGUUGAACGGCCACAUUGGGACUGAGACACGGCCCAGACUCCUACGGGAGGCAGCAGUGGGGAAUAUUGCACAAUGGGGGAAACCCUGAUGCAGCGACGCCGCGUGAGCGAAGAAGUAUUUCGGUAUGUAAAGCUCUAUCAGCAGGGAAGAAGAAAUGACGGUACCUGACUAAGAAGCACCGGCUAAAUACGUG